GAUGAACGCUGGCGGCGUGCCUAAUACAUGCAAGUCGAGCGAACAGAUGAGGAGCUUGCUCCUCUGACGUUAGCGGCGGACGGGUGAGUAACACGUGGAUAACCUACCUAUAAGACUGGGAUAACUUCGGGAAACCGGAGCUAAUACCGGAGAAUAUAUUGAACCGCAGGGUUCAAUAGUGAAAGACGGUUUUGCUGUCACUUAUAGAUGGAUCCGCGCCGCAUUAGCUAGUUGGUAAGGUAACGGCUUACCAAGGCAACGAUGCGUAGCCGACCUGAGAGGGUGAUCGGCCACACUGGAACUGAGACACGGUCCAGACUCCUACGGGAGGCAGCAGUAGGGAAUCUUCCGCAAUGGGCGAAAGCCUGACGGAGCAACGCCGCGUGAGUGAUGAAGGUCUUCGGAUCGUAAAGCUCUGUUAUUAGGGAAGAACAAAUGUGUAAGUAACUAUGCACGUCUUGACGGUACCUAAUCAGAAAGCCACGGCUAACUACGUG
Molecule: ribosomal RNA, 497 nt
Filed under: uncultured bacterium
Lineage: Bacteria
Description: partial 16S ribosomal RNA
Rfam family: Bacterial small subunit ribosomal RNA
Source: RNAcentral